Pelobates cultripes (western spadefoot toad) is the source of this 1723-nucleotide non-coding RNA. The record is from the annotation of a GenBank genome assembly. NCBI's taxonomy places the organism in Eukaryota, Metazoa, Chordata, Amphibia, Anura, Pelobatidae.
CAGAUAUUUCCAUCAGCAGAAGUUUUUCUUAAGGAAAGGACAACAACAGAAAUACACCAAGCACGAUUAUGAAGAAAUUUUUUUUUAUUUUUUUUUAAAGAGACCAAGGAUUCCAGCUCUCCAAACUCAAGCAAUCUCUCAGAAUCCUAUAUGUCUACAAAGGAGAUCGUAAACAUAAACCCAAAACCUUUCUCAUGUUCUGAAUGUGGAAAAUGUUUUUGCUGGCAGUCAGAAAUUGUAAUACAUCAGAGAACUCACACAGGAGAGAAACCUUUAUCAUGUGCUGAAUGUGGGAAAUGUUUUAGCCAGCACUCAAAUCUUGUUAAACAUCAGAGAACUCACACAGGAGAGAAACCUUUCUCAUGUUCUGAAUGUGGGAAAUACUUUAGACAAAAAACAACUCUAGUUAGACACCAGAGAACUCACACAGGAGAGAAACCUUUCUCAUGUUCCGAAUGUGGAAAAUGUUUUGGCUGGCAGUCCGAAAUUGUAAUACAUCAGAGAACUCACACAGGAGAGAAACCUUUCUCAUGUGCUGAAUGUGGGAAAUGUUUUAGCCAGUGCGCACAUCUUGUUAAACAUCAGAGAAUUCACACAGGAGAGAAACCUUUCUCCUGUUCUGAAUGUGGGAAUUGUUUUAGCACGCAUUCAAAUCUUGUUUCACAUCAGAGAACUCACACAGGAGAGAAACCUUUCUCAUGUUCUGAAUGUGGGAAUUGUUUUAGAACGCAUUCAAAUCUUGUUUCACAUCAGAGAACUCACACAGGAGAGAAACCUUUCUCAUGCUCAGAAUGUGGGAACUGUUUUAGUGGGCAAUCAGAUCUUGUUGCACAUCACAGAACUCACACAGGAGAGAAACCUUUCUCAUGUUCUGAAUGUGGGAAAUGUUUUAGACAAAGCACAACUCUAGUUAGACACCAGAGAACUCACACAGGAGAGAAACCUUUCUUAUGUGCUGAAUGUGGGAAAUGUUUUAGUGAGCACUCAAAUCUUGUUUCACAUCAGAGAACUCACACAGGAGAGAAACGUUUCUCAUGUUCUGAAUGUGGGAAAUGUUUUAACAGGCAUGCACACCUUGUUUUACACCACAGAACUCACACAGGAGAGAAACCUUUCUCAUGUUUUGAAUGUGGGAAAUGUUUUAGCUAUAACUCAGCUCUAGUUAAACAUCAGAGAACUCACACAGGAGAGUAACCUUUCUCAUGUUCUGAAUGGAGAAAUAGUUUUGUCAAUAAAGCAGAGCUUGUCCGUCAUCAGAGAACCAGAUUUUGUUAAGCAUCAGAUAACUCACAUAGUAGAGUUUGUAUAAUGUGUUUAUGAAUUAACAUGGGAAUAAAACAUCUAAUAUUGUAAAAUGUUCUCAUCCUGACACAAUAAAUAAUACAUGUGACAGUAGCAACCUAUAAAUGAUGCAUUGGUAUUGUGAUUGUGUUAACUCUACAGAGCCACACUUUACUUUUCUUCUCUUUGAUAUUACUAUUAAAUUAGAAAACUUCUGUACCUUCCAUGCAAAACGCUUGCUUUCUUUAACCUCUUCCUAGGUACAUCUGACAAAAAAGUGCCUUAUGGUUCUAGUAUGUCCGCCACAUUCCUGCUUACUUACUCGAUCGCCGCCGUUCCCCCGCCACCGAUCAGUGUUGCUCACAGUCUGGGUGGACUGCCUGACAACCCAGACAGUCCCCUCUUGGCAAAUUAGGCCCCCGCUGGCCAUGUGAUUGCUCAG